GAUGAACGCUGGCGGCGUGCCUAAUACAUGCAAGUCGAGCGAACAGACGAGGAGCUUGCUCCUCUGACGUUAGCGGCGGACGGGUGAGUAACACGUGGAUAACCUACCUAUAAGACUGGGAUAACUUCGGGAAACCGGAGCUAAUACCGGAUAAUAUAUUGAACCGCAUGGUUCAAUAGUGAAAGACGGUUUUGCUGUCACUUAUAGAUGGAUCCGCGCCGCAUUAGCUAGUUGGUAAGGUAACGGCUUACCAAGGCGACGAUGCGUAGCCGACCUGAGAGGGUGAUCGGCCACACUGGAACUGAGACACGGUCCAGACUCCUACGGGAGGCAGCAGUAGGGAAUCUUCCGCAAAGGGCGAAAGCCUGACGGAGCAACGCCGCGUGAGUGAUGAAGGUCUCCGGAUCGUAAAACUCUGUUAUUAGGGAAGAACAAAUGUGUAAGUAACUAUGCACGUCUUGACGGUACCUAAUCAGAAAGCCACGGCUAACUACGUG
RNAcentral lists this ribosomal RNA (497 nucleotides) under uncultured bacterium. Its description in RNAcentral is "partial 16S ribosomal RNA". It matches the Rfam family "Bacterial small subunit ribosomal RNA", at positions 28 to 507 of the family's 1533-position model. The record is from RNAcentral.